This 482-nucleotide ribosomal RNA is filed under the name uncultured bacterium. RNAcentral's name for it is "bacterial SSU rRNA". It matches the Rfam family "Bacterial small subunit ribosomal RNA", at positions 29 to 506 of the family's 1533-position model. The record is from RNAcentral.
UUGAACGCUGGCGGAAUGCUUUACAUAUGCAAGUCGAGCGGCAGCGCGGGGGCAACCCUGGCGGCGAGCGGCGAACGGGUGAGUAACAUAUCGGAACGUACCCUGUCGUGGGGGAUAACACAUCGAAAGGUGUGCUAAUACCGCAUACGACCUGAGGGUGAAAGCGGGGGAUCGCAAGACCUCGCGCGACAGGAGCGGCCGAUAUCGGAUUAGCUAGUUGGUGAGGUAAAGGCUCACCAAGGCGACGAUCCGUAGCGGGUCUGAGAGGACGACCCGCCACACUGGAACUGAGACACGGCCCAGACUCCUACGGGAGGCAGCAGUGGGGAAUUUUGGACAAUGGGCGCAAGCCUGAUCCAGCAAUGCCGCGUGCAGGAAGAAGGCCUUCGGGUUGUAAACUGCUUUUGUACGGAGCGAAAAGGCUCUCUCUAAUACAGGGGGCUCAUGACGGUACCGUAAGAAUAAGCACCGGCUAACUACGU